This 71-nucleotide transfer RNA is filed under the name Phrynosoma platyrhinos (Desert horned lizard). Its description in RNAcentral is "tRNA-OTHER". The record is from RNAcentral. Lineage: Eukaryota; Metazoa; Chordata; Lepidosauria; Squamata; Phrynosomatidae.
GCCACUGUGGCACAGUGGUUUAAGUGUUGGACUAUGACUCUAGAGACCAGGGUUUGAUUCCUAGCUUGGCC